RNAcentral lists this long non-coding RNA (625 nucleotides) under Homo sapiens (human). RNAcentral's name for it is "HSALNT0369394". Lineage: Eukaryota; Metazoa; Chordata; Mammalia; Primates; Hominidae. The record is from RNAcentral.
CUUAACUCCUCCUCAUUUGCAGCAGAUGACUUCACCUCCUACUUCCCGAAGAAAAUAGAAGGCAUCAGAUGGGAACUCCCUCAGCUUCCUGCUAGCAAAUCCAUACAGUUCCAUCUGGACUCAUGUUCUUCUCUUUUCCUCCUAUUUUAGUCUAGGGAGUAUCCUUCUCAUUUAAGCCCAAUCCCUCCACCUGUGCUUUGGAAACUGUCUGCUCAUGCCUUCUCACUUCAUUAUCAACCUUACACUAUCAGUUUCUUCUCCCUCCCUGCCCCCAUUUCUAUUUAUUCGACAUACCCUUCUCAACUGGAUUAUUUCCAAUUACAUUUAAAUCUUCUCAUGCCUCUUCCAUCUUAAAAAACAACCUUCCUUGUCUCCCAAUUUCUAUGUUUCUAUCUUUCAACUCCUUUCUAUCUUUCCCAUUUCUUUCAAUCUAAAUUUUCUAAAGAUGUCUCAUUGUUUGCUUUGCAUCUUUUCCUUUUGGACGGAAUCCUUUCUGCACUGUUAGUCCUUCCAUGUGAUUUGAGUGAGACUGACCCUGCCUACCAACCCAGGGGUGGCCAACCAGAGUACUCUAUUUCCUGGCUACAAUGAUUGACUUAGUGAGGAGUCUGUGAUCCCAGAAGGU